RNAcentral lists this unclassified non-coding RNA (397 nucleotides) under fungal sp. RNAcentral's name for it is "partial internal transcribed spacer region". The stretch from base 1 to 45 matches the Rfam family "Eukaryotic small subunit ribosomal RNA", at positions 1787 to 1831 of the family's 1831-position model. Lineage: Eukaryota; Fungi. The record is from RNAcentral.
AGUCGUAACAAGGUUUCCGUAGGUGAACCUGCGGAAGGAUCAUUAGCAGCAAGUCGAGGGGGAGUGGGUGGCGCGAGCUGCCUGCUGCCACGUGUUGCCGUGCCCGCUGGGGCGGCAUACAUGGGCGCUCUGGGGAGCGGAGGCGAGCCAGACUGCAUGUGAGCUUUUGUUGUUGUUGUUGUUGUUGUGCUGUGUUGCUUGCACCAUGGGGUGUUGUUGCUGCGUGUGUGUGUGUGUGGUGUGUGUGUGGUGGUGGGUGUGGCGAGGCUGCACUGACUGCUGCGACAGCAUGACAUGAUGUGACGUGGUGGUGACGUGUGUGUGUGUGAGCGGGCGGCGGCAGAAGGAAAGAUGAAGAGAAAGAAAAAGACCCUUAACAAUGGAUCUCUUGGUUCUU